Molecule: ribosomal RNA, 429 nt
Filed under: Pseudomonadota bacterium
Lineage: Bacteria; Pseudomonadati; Pseudomonadota
Description: Proteobacteria bacterium partial 16S ribosomal RNA
Rfam family: Bacterial small subunit ribosomal RNA
Source: RNAcentral
UGGGGUAUAUUGGACAAUGGGCGAAAGCCUGAUCCAGCCAUGCCGCGUGUGUGAAGAAGGUCUUCGGAUUGUAAAGCACUUUAAGUUGGGAGGAAGGGCAGUAAGCGAAUACCUUGCUGUUUUGACGUUACCGACAGAAUAAGCACCGGCUAACUCUGUGCCAGCAGCCGCGGUAAUACAGAGGGUGCAAGCGUUAAUCGGAAUUACUGGGCGUAAAGCGCGCGUAGGUGGUUCGUUAAGUUGAAUGUGAAAGACCCGGGCUCAACCUGGGAACUGCAUCCAAAACUGGCGAGCUAGAGUAGGGCAGAGGGUGGUGGAAUUUCCUGUGUAGCGGUGAAAUGCGUAGAUAUAGGAAGGAACACCAGUGGCGAAGGCGACCACCUGGGCUCAUACUGACACUGAGGUGCGAAAGCGUGGGGAGCAAACAGG